RNAcentral lists this long non-coding RNA (1069 nucleotides) under Anas platyrhynchos platyrhynchos (common mallard). RNAcentral describes it as "lncRNA (ENSAPLG00000024421.1)". Lineage: Eukaryota; Metazoa; Chordata; Aves; Anseriformes; Anatidae. The record is from RNAcentral.
GUGGGGGUAUGUGUAAUCCCUGAAAUACAGAACUACUUAGCAAUAUUGAAAAAAGCUGCUUGAUACAAGGCAUUAACAAAACACAUUGUGAAAGCUUGGCACCCAAAUUAAUGUGGCUGCCAAUGUCAGACCAAAAACUUUGAGAGCAAAACAAUUUGUCCAGUACUAAGCAGACACCAUCAUGGCAGAUUCAAUGAACACUCAUACAGGGAUACCAUCUGUUCAUAAUGGCUUUUGAAGAAUAGCAGAUAAAAAAACUUUCAUUUUUUUUUUUAUCAAAAAUGUUAUGUUUUAUCAAAACAGUGAAGACAUGAAAGUGCAAGACUGAACAGCAAUGGAAACAGGACACAGUACAUACAGAGAAGCAGUGGUGGAAUGGGUUAGCUAAUAUAGUCAAUGGAACUGAAGAUGUUGGCACAGAGGAGAUGGUGUAGUCUGCAGUGGUGGUUGGUUGUUUGGAGAGGAAAAGAUAUUGGGGCUCAGCUGCCAUUCACUCAAUACUUUUACAGGUGAUAUUACAUUGUCAACACUUCCUUUACUUUAAAUUACACUGGCAGUAAUUUAAUUGGCACCACGCUUAGCCUGAUGUUACUCAUUUUCAGGGUGGUUAGAUAAAUCAGGGCCAUGAGGUGCUGAUUCAAAACCUUUUUAAAUAGCAAAUAAGCUUUUUUUUUUUUUUUCUUUCAUUAAGGAUGUCAUGUUUACUAUUUAGUCUUUAAUGUUAGUAUUCAGAGGUAUUCGGUGUUGAAAAUGUUCUGGUUUAUGCUAAAAUAAUGCCAUCAGAUGCUGAAUUAGUUCCUGUCAUUCUGAAGGGUUUCCUACAUGCUUUACAAACUAAAUGUUGCAAUCUCAAAUCUUUCUUCAAUUAUUAAUAUAGAGACACAUUGUCCCCCUCAACAAAGCAAUUAUCAGUAAAUAGUUUUCUAAAGGUAGUAAUUAGUGACCUGUGAACCAAGAAUCAGGAAUCAGGUAUUGAGAGACUGAGAACACCAGUUGUACUGAAAAAUUACUAGUGUUUUUUUUGUUUUCUUUUUUAGAAAUGUAUUAAUAAUGUGAAAACAAAUGAAAG